UAAGUAACGACAAGAAGAACAAGAACAAGAAAAAGGAUGCUGUAGUUUCUCUUUCCUUUCUUUUUUUUUUUUUUUAAAUUCCUCCUCCCCUCCCUUGCUUUCUG
This 104-nucleotide non-coding RNA is filed under the name Chloropicon mariensis. Lineage: Eukaryota; Viridiplantae; Chlorophyta; Chloropicophyceae; Chloropicales; Chloropicaceae. The record is from RNAcentral.